AAUUUGAUAUUGUCAAAAUGAAUAUAUUUUAUUUUUUUAUUUGCUUAUAUGGUAUUAAAAUUAAUUUUUGUAAUUUCUUUUAAAGACAGAUAAUAUACUAUAUGUUUCGUUUAUUUUAUUUAAAAAUAAAUAUAAUUAAAAAUAUAAAUUAAUUAUGAUUCGAAUUUAGAAUCUUAAAUAUUAAUCAUCAAAUUUUUAAUCACU
This 204-nucleotide long non-coding RNA is filed under the name Ananas comosus (pineapple). RNAcentral's name for it is "long non-coding RNA (ACOM_LNC004456)". The record is from RNAcentral. Lineage: Eukaryota; Viridiplantae; Streptophyta; Magnoliopsida; Poales; Bromeliaceae.